Long non-coding RNA from Selaginella moellendorffii, 273 nucleotides. RefSeq lists it as uncharacterized. NCBI's taxonomy places the organism in Eukaryota, Viridiplantae, Streptophyta, Lycopodiopsida, Selaginellales, Selaginellaceae. The transcript has 4 exons. The record is from RefSeq and is a predicted model, not a curated record.
GAGGAAACCUGCGAAGAGAAUGUGGAUCCGGAUGUGAUCUCGGACGUCGAGGACGAAUGGGUCGAUUGUGACGAGACGGUGUUUGGAAGCCAGCUCGUCAAGAACCCGUUCGAAGAUCUCGAUGUCGAAGAGAUCAGUACAAGCCUUCCAAAUGCAAACUAUGUCAAGGCUUGCAUGGUUUACGCGACCGACGAGACCUUGAAGCUCGAGGAGGAUCGCAAUUAGAGCCGAUCACGUCCCCAAAGAUCGUCCUUGUUGAUUCUUCAGUCGGAG